GUUUUACCUUCUUGGACUACCUUCCUCUACCAUCGUCCAAAUAUGGAAAUCAUUACCAAAUAUGGAGACAAGUUAAGUAAGUUGUAUAAAUGGACAUUACUGUAGCAAAGGAGAAAUAAAUCUUCGGAACAAUUGGUAUCAAACCUGGGACCCUUGCAUUACUAGUUUGGUGAUCUAACCACAGAUCUACCCUGGCCGAUAUCCUGUCCUAUGAUACUGCGGGUCCUAUGAUACUGAGAAAUUAUACAAGAAUUCUUCAGAGCAAGGAGGCCCUGAAGCGUACUACCACACCACUGGAACGGUACGAAACAAUUCCUGCACGGAACAGUGGACGGUUUGCACAGAAUGCUGAUCACUUUGUAGGUGUGGCUUGCAUGUUUUGUGAACAAUCUGCACGAAAC
Long non-coding RNA from Ostrea edulis (European flat oyster), 401 nucleotides. RefSeq lists it as uncharacterized. The transcript has 4 exons. Lineage: Eukaryota; Metazoa; Mollusca; Bivalvia; Ostreida; Ostreidae. The record is from RefSeq and is a predicted model, not a curated record.